UCGGUCCUUAGUUCUGCAAAACAGAAAAAGCAAAAAGCAAAUAUGGAAGGAUAUGAAACUUGAGAUUUAUCGACGAAGCCGGUUGGAGGUUUGAGACUCGCUCACUCACAGACAUGCUGAAGAUGCUGCGGACGACCACAAUUGCUUCUCCCUUGAAGGUUGGUUAUGGCAUCGGCAGCAGACAGAGAGUGAAAGUGAGGGGUAUGCCACCUGUGCCUUGUUUUCUUCUUCAUAAAUCAACUACUUUUCUAUUCUUCAACAAUUACUUGGCUCCGUUUCACUCUCGACCUUCUUAUCCAACCAAAUCUGCAAAAACCCAAUUGCUUCAGCGUGUUAAAGUAACUAAUCUUGAGGAUGCACUCCAUGUGUUCGACGAAAUGCUUCAAAUGCAUCCUCUGCCUACCAUUGCACAUUUCACUCAAAUCUUGACUCAAGUCGCUAAUUUAAAAUCUUGACUCAAGUCGCUAAGUUAAAACAUAAGAUCCAUACUCAUCCCACUGUCACUCAUCACGUUUUCUUCCGAGCAAACUGCAACCUCCGCGUAGUUAUGCGAAAAUCUAGUUCAGGACCCCAACCACCAUUCUCAUCCUUUGCGGCUCUUCUUUUCUUCCAGCAGCUGAAAUGCCGCCGCUCGAUGAAUGGCUAGGAAGCACCUGCUGACCGUCGAUAGAAAGUAGUCAAGCCAUUCUCAAGCGAUUUACAGGGACGAAAACCGUGUGAAGAUUCUGAAUUUUGGUGUUUGUUUGGGAAGCUUCACAAUGUUUGACUAAAAAACAACUCAUCACAUAUGAAAGAACUUCUGCCCCAUUACACAUCCACUCUACUUUUCAUUAAGAGCAACUCCACCCUUGGUGGUUGCUCGGGGACAGGCGAAGGGAAAGGGCCCGAGGGCCAAUGGAUAGGCCUCCAGCCUUGGGCAGCCCGAGUGAAUGUGGAAGCCCGAGGGCCAGGCCUGUGGAGAAUUGACAAGCAUGCAGCCCGAGUUGUGUGUGCUUUUUUAAUUUUUUUUUGUGUCAGGCGCGCGCCCCUCACUUGCGAGUGGGGGCGCAUCAACCGACAAGUUUACAGGGCACAGGGCCCGCACACCAGGAAAUGUAGUGACUGUUGGAAAACCACGUGGCUUCCCAUGGUCCGUUCGAUCCCAACGGCUCUUUAAUACGAGCCAUCCGA
Malus domestica (apple) is the source of this 1170-nucleotide non-coding RNA. The record is from RefSeq and is a predicted model, not a curated record. NCBI's taxonomy places the organism in Eukaryota, Viridiplantae, Streptophyta, Magnoliopsida, Rosales, Rosaceae.